AGAGCGAACGCUGGCGGCAGGCUUAACACAUGCAAGUCGAGCGGGCGUAGCAAUACGUCAGCGGCAGACGGGUGAGUAACGCGUGGGAACAUACCUUUUGGUUCGGAACAACACAGGGAAACUUGUGCUAAUACCGGAUAAGCCCUUACGGGGAAAGAUUUAUCGCCGAAAGAUUGGCCCGCGUCUGAUUAGCUAGUUGGUGAGGUAACGGCUCACCAAGGCGACGAUCAGUAGCUGGUCUGAGAGGAUGAUCAGCCACAUUGGGACUGAGACACGGCCCAAACUCCUACGGGAGGCAGCAGUGGGGAAUAUUGGACAAUGGGCGCAAGCCUGAUCCAGCCAUGCCGCGUGAGUGAUGAAGGCCCUAGGGUUGUAAAGCUCUUUGUGCGGGAAGAUAAUGACGGUACCCGUAGAAUAAGCCCGGCUAACUUCGCGCCAGCAGCCGC
Molecule: ribosomal RNA, 446 nt
Filed under: uncultured bacterium
Lineage: Bacteria
Description: SSU rRNA
Rfam family: Bacterial small subunit ribosomal RNA
Source: RNAcentral